Molecule: non-coding RNA, 28 nt
Filed under: Mus musculus (house mouse)
Lineage: Eukaryota; Metazoa; Chordata; Mammalia; Rodentia; Muridae
Source: RNAcentral
UGGACUUGCCUGCUGUUAGCUUUGUGGA